GGAGUCGGCCAGGCAAUCGCUCCGAUUCGUCGGGGAGGAAAGUCCGGGCUCCGCAGGGCAGGGUGCCAGGUAACACCUGGGGGGCGUGAGCCUACGGAAAGUGCAGCAGAAAAUAUACCGCCUCUUUAUCGGGGUAAGGGUGAAAUGGUGUGGUAAGAGCACACCGCGCGUCCGGCAACGGACGUGGCAGUGUAAACCCCACUCGGAGCAAGACCAAAUAGGAAUCCGUCAAUCGCUGCCCGCGAUGGGAUUCGGGUAGGUCGCUAUAGGUACCUGGCGACAAGUAUCACAGAUGAAUGAUUGUCCACGACAGAACCCGGCUUAUCGGCCGACUCCGGCU
Molecule: RNase P RNA, 340 nt
Filed under: Pseudomonadales bacterium
Lineage: Bacteria; Pseudomonadati; Pseudomonadota; Gammaproteobacteria; Pseudomonadales
Description: RNase P RNA component class A
Rfam family: Bacterial RNase P class A
About the family: Ribonuclease P (RNase P) is a ubiquitous endoribonuclease, found in archaea, bacteria and eukarya as well as chloroplasts and mitochondria. Its best characterised activity is the generation of mature 5'-ends of tRNAs by cleaving the 5'-leader elements of precursor-tRNAs. Cellular RNase Ps are ribonucleoproteins.
Source: RNAcentral